This is a long non-coding RNA of Oncorhynchus tshawytscha (Chinook salmon), 532 nucleotides long. RefSeq lists it as uncharacterized. Lineage: Eukaryota; Metazoa; Chordata; Actinopteri; Salmoniformes; Salmonidae. The record is from RefSeq and is a predicted model, not a curated record. The transcript is spliced from 2 exons.
AGCUUGACUCCUUAUGUGUUGCGUUGUGCAACUGACUAGGUAUCAUCUUCUGGGAUGCAGCUUGACCCCUUAUGUGUUGCGUUGUGCAACUGACUAGGUAUCAUCUUCUGGGAUGCAGCUUGACCCCUUAUGUGUUGCGUUGUGCAACUGACUAGGUAUCACCUUCUGGGAUGCAGCUUGACUCCUUAUGUGUUGCGUUGUGCAACUGACUAGGUAUCACCUUCUGGGAUGCAGCUUGACUCCUUAUGUGUUGCGUUGUGCAACUGACUAGGUAUCACCUUCUGGGAUGCAGCUUGACUCCUUAUGUGUUGCGUUGUGCAAAACCAGAGUUGAUGAGGAAAGAGGACAAAAAAAGGAGGGAAAGAGAAUUCCUGGAAACACUUUAGCAUAGAGUUCUGGAAAGCAGCACAUUACCUCAACUCAAUGUACAUGUGCCAAUAACACUCUACAUGCUCUAAUAUCCUCGAUGAGAAUAUAAUGGCACACAUUUCGCUUAUACUACUCAUAAAUAAUAAAACUAUUGUUGAAGUCA